This is a long non-coding RNA of Halichondria panicea, 1935 nucleotides long. RefSeq lists it as uncharacterized. NCBI's taxonomy places the organism in Eukaryota, Metazoa, Porifera, Demospongiae, Suberitida, Halichondriidae. The record is from RefSeq and is a predicted model, not a curated record. The transcript is spliced from 2 exons.
UAUUGUGUGAGCUGUGUGGUCUUACCAGACCCUGUUUCCCCAACGAUUAUCACCACAUUGUUAUCGCGAAUCACACUCAAGAGCCACACUCAAGAGCCUCUGCUCAAGAGCUGUAGAUCUAGAUUAUUACGAGAACACACAAAUCUGCAACUCAUAUUAAAUUGGUACAAUCAAAAACAAAAUAAACUGAACAUUCGUACAACUAACAGGCUACACGUUUAGUUUUGUUAACGACACGUCACAAGUUGAGCAAUGUCAAUGCCUUUGAGCCUCUUCCUGGGAUAUAUACGUAUCAUACGUUGUUGCUAUGUGACGGUAGAGAUCGUACUGCUGAUCCCUCUCCCUUUUCUUGUACCACAUGGCAGAACAACUCUGGAGAAGAGCACCCAGAAUACCUAAACCAGCACCGACACAGUAUUCACAAAUCACACAGUUUUCCGAGUCACGAAAGGCUAUAUUAAGUAUGUAACCAAAAAAGCCGAACAGGAAAAGUGUGAAGAAGACAUAACCUGACAGUAGUCCUCUCAUGUUGUAUGGUGACUGAGCACAUACAAACUCAACUGAUAGGCACCAACACAGGCUUAACGCACUACUGGAUAGAAUAGCAUACACAAAUUGAGACCAAGGGGAUAUAUAACCGUCAUAUUGGUAAAAAACAACUACAGAAAAUAUUGAGUUUGCAAUGUUGAGGAACAUCACCAGAAAAACAAAAACGGUCAGUUGCCUCAUAAUGCUACCAACGAUAUGUCUGACCACUGGGUAAACGAUGAACUUAUACAGCAAUACAGUGAUCACACUACACCAAAAAGGGUUGUAGGUAAAAUUUGAAAAUAAGGUAUACACACAAGUUGAGUUAGGGAGCUCCCGGAAUUCAAGAGGUGUUUCAAAAACAUAGAAUACCCCAUACACGUUCAUUGAAGACGUCGUGACCCACAUAGGGACGAAAACAACCAACAAUCUGCCAAACGUUUUCACAUCCUCAACUUGUUCUGUUGUGAAUGGACCCCCAAAACGAGACUUUCCAAGAUCUAGUCUAGAAGGAAUGUUUUCUUCCCAGUACGUAAAAGCACUGCGAUUUACUGGAGAUGUGUGCUUGGCUGCAAACUUGAGAACUCUGUACACGUUUCUAAAAACCUGCGUUGACUGUGGUUCAAUAAUAAGCACCUUCUGACCAAAUAUAAACAGUGUACACAGAAGAAUGCACACACAAAGAACAGGAAAUAGGCUCAAUAUUCGCUGGAGAUAAUGAAAAUUAAAGCAUGUUGUCACAAGGUAAUAUAACAAGUCGCCGACCCAGAAUCCAAAACUCAAUACCACAGCAUACCACUUUGAAAACGAUGAAAUAUCAGUUGAAGAUGCGUCCGGCAUCUGAUCCAAGCCUGCUGAAACAAUGUAACCAAACAAGCACCUCCACCGGAAAAGAACAUUACAUUUGAAACUGGAGCAGCUACAAUACUAACCACGAAAUAAGUACCGCUGUCUUCAUGAAUUGUUUUCAAGACCAAGAUUGUUACACUUGCAACAACAAUUCCGAAAAAUAAGAGCAAUGCUCCAGUUUUGAACACUCUGAAAUUACCGAAUCGUGAGUCUGCCAGAUAACCAGAUAGUGGAAUGGCAAUAACAAGAGUUAAAGUAGGAACUGCAUUAUCUAUCACAUUUAAGCUGAGAACUCCCUUGAUUUCAAGUCCACUAUAGACUUGUUCUUUAAAAUCAGUGCUGAACCACAGUGCUGCACUUACGCACCAACUCCACAAGAGAACAAGAGCAGCACCUUUUGAGUAACAACACUUCAUUUUAAGUCUACCUAUGAUGGAGUUAGUGUAACACCAUGUAUUUAUAUGUACUUAAAUCGUAAGUAAACUGGAAUCCCGAGAGUGACUAUUGCUAUUGUACGAAUACGAAGUUUGUUUUUUCAAGUCAGUGUUUUUAAUUUCA